This 524-nucleotide ribosomal RNA is filed under the name Leuciscus leuciscus (common dace). Its description in RNAcentral is "partial 16S ribosomal RNA". It matches the Rfam family "Bacterial large subunit ribosomal RNA", at positions 1930 to 2606 of the family's 2925-position model. Lineage: Eukaryota; Metazoa; Chordata; Actinopteri; Cypriniformes; Leuciscidae. The record is from RNAcentral.
GCCGCGGUAUUUUGACCGUGCAAAGGUAGCGCAAUCACUUGUCUCUUAAAUAGAGACCUGUAUGAAUGGCUAGACGAGGGCUUAACUGUCUCCCCCUUCCAGUCAGUGAAAUUGAUCUAUCCGUGCAGAAGCGGGUGUAAUUAUACAAGACGAGAAGACCCUUUGGAGCUUAAGGUACAAAGUUCAACCACGUUAAACGACUCCACAGAAAGCAAGAACUUAGUGGCAAAUGAAACUUUACCUUCGGUUGGGGCGACCACGGAGGAGAAGAAAGCCUCCGAGUGGACUGGGCUAAAUCCCCAAAGCCAAGAGAUACAUCUAUAAGCCGCAGAACAUCUGACCAAAAAUGAUCCGACUGAAAAGCCGAUCAACGAACCAAGUUACCCUAGGGAUAACAGCGCAAUCCUCUCCCAGAGUCCAUAUCGACGAGGGGGUUUACGACCUCGAUGUUGGAUCAGGACAUCCUAAUGGUGCAGCCGCUAUUAAGGGUUCGUUUGUUCAACGAUUAAAGUCCUACGUGAUCU